RNAcentral lists this ribosomal RNA (511 nucleotides) under Trichoderma harzianum. Its description in RNAcentral is "eukaryotic LSU rRNA". The stretch from base 158 to 311 matches the Rfam family "5.8S ribosomal RNA". Lineage: Eukaryota; Fungi; Ascomycota; Sordariomycetes; Hypocreales; Hypocreaceae. The record is from RNAcentral.
UUGCCUCGGCGGGAUCUCUGCCCCGGGUGCGUCGCAGCCCCGGACCAAGGCGCCCGCCGGAGGACCAACCAAAACUCUUAUUGUAUACCCCCUCGCGGGUUUUUUUAUAAUCUGAGCCUUCUCGGCGCCUCUCGUAGGCGUUUCGAAAAUGAAUCAAAACUUUCAACAACGGAUCUCUUGGUUCUGGCAUCGAUGAAGAACGCAGCGAAAUGCGAUAAGUAAUGUGAAUUGCAGAAUUCAGUGAAUCAUCGAAUCUUUGAACGCACAUUGCGCCCGCCAGUAUUCUGGCGGGCAUGCCUGUCCGAGCGUCAUUUCAACCCUCGAACCCCUCCGGGGGGUCGGCGUUGGGGAUCGGCCCUCCCUUAGCGGGUGGCCGUCUCCGAAAUACAGUGGCGGUCUCGCCGCAGCCUCUCCUGCGCAGUAGUUUGCACACUCGCAUCGGGAGCGCGGCGCGUCCACAGCCGUUAAACACCCAACUUCUGAAAUGUUGACCUCGGAUCAGGUAGGAAUA